Molecule: ribosomal RNA, 506 nt
Filed under: uncultured bacterium
Lineage: Bacteria
Description: partial 16S ribosomal RNA
Rfam family: Bacterial small subunit ribosomal RNA
Source: RNAcentral
AGUGAACGCUGGCGGUAGGCCUAACACAUGCAAGUCGAACGGCAGCACAGGAGAGCUUGCUCUCUGGGUGGCGAGUGGCGGACGGGUGAGGAAUACAUCGGAAUCUACUCUGUCGUGGGGGAUAACGUAGGGAAACUUACGCUAAUACCGCAUACGACCUACGGGUGAAAGCAGGGGACCUUCGGUCCUUGCGCGAUUGAAUGAGCCGGUGUCGGAUUAGCUAGUUGGCGGGGUAAAGGCCCACCAAGGCGACGAUCCGUAGCUGGUCUGAGAGGAUGAUCAGCCACACUGGAACUGAGACACGGUCCAGACUCCUACGGGAGGCAGCAGUGGGGAAUAUUGGACAAUGGGCGCAAGCCUGAUCCAGCCAUACCGCGUGGGUGAAGAAGGCCUUCGGGUUGUAAAGCCCUUUUGUUGGGAAAGAAAUCCAGCUGGCUAAUACCCGGUUGGGAUGACGGUACCCAAAGAAUAAGCACCGGCUAACUUCGUGCUAGCCGCCGCGGUAA